GCGCAAUCUGCAGUCGAGCGGACAGAUGGGAGCUUGCUCCCUGAUGUUAGCGGCGGACGGGUGAGUAACACGUGGGUAACCUGCCUGUAAGACUGGGAUAACUCCGGGAAACCGGGGCUAAUACCGGAUGCUUGAUUGAACCGCAUGGUUCAAUUAUAAAAGGUGGCUUUUAGCUACCACUUACAGAUGGACCCGCGGCGCAUUAGCUAGUUGGUGAGGUAACGGCUCACCAAGGCAACGAUGCGUAGCCGACCUGAGAGGGUGAUCGGCCACACUGGGACUGAGACACGGCCCAGACUCCUACGGGAGGCAGCAGU
This 317-nucleotide ribosomal RNA is filed under the name Geobacillus stearothermophilus. RNAcentral describes it as "bacterial SSU rRNA". It matches the Rfam family "Bacterial small subunit ribosomal RNA", at positions 53 to 355 of the family's 1533-position model. The record is from RNAcentral. Lineage: Bacteria; Bacillati; Bacillota; Bacilli; Caryophanales; Anoxybacillaceae.